AACGAACGCUGGCGGCGUGGAUAAGACAUGCAAGUCGAACGAGAGAAUUGCUAGCUUGCUAAUAAUUCUCUAGUGGCGCACGGGUGAGUAACACGUGAGUAACCUGCCCCCGAGAGCGGGAUAGCCCUGGGAAACUGGGAUUAAUACCGCAUAGUAUCGAAAGAUUAAAGCAGCAAUGCGCUUGGGGAUGGGCUCGCGGCCUAUUAGUUAGUUGGUGAGGUAACGGCUCACCAAGGCGAUGACGGGUAGCCGGUCUGAGAGGAUGUCCGGCCACACUGGAACUGAGACACGGUCCAGACACCUACGGGUGGCAGCAGUCGAGAAUCAUUCACAAUGGGGGAAACCCUGAUGGUGCGACGCCGCGUGGGGGAAUGAAGGUCUUCGGAUUGUAAACCCCUGUCAUGUGGGAGCAAAUUAAAAAGAUAGUACCACAAGAGGAAGAGACGGCUAACUCUGUGCCAGCAGCCGCGGUAAUACAGAGGUCUCAAGCGUUGUUCGGAAUCACUGGGCGUAAAGCGUGCGUAGGCUGUUUCGUAAGUCGUGUGUGAAAGGCGCGGGCUCAACCCGCGGACGGCACAUGAUACUGCGAGACUAGAGUAAUGGAGGGGGAACCGGAAUUCUCGGUGUAGCAGUGAAAUGCGUAGAUAUCGAGAGGAACACUCGUGGCGAAGGCGGGUUCCUGGACAUUAACUGACGCUGAGGCACGAAGGCCAGGGGAGCGAAAGGGAUUAGAUACCCCUGUAGUCCUGGCAGUAAACGGUGCACGCUUGGUGUGCGGGGAAUCGACCCCCUGCGUGCCGGAGCUAACGCGUUAAGCGUGCCGCCUGGGGAGUACGGUCGCAAGAUUAAAACUCAAAGAAAUUGACGGGGACCCGCACAAGCGGUGGAGUAUGUGGCUUAAUUCGAUGCAACGCGAAGAACCUUACCUGGGCUUGACAUGUAAUGAACAACAUGUGAAAGCAUGCGACUCUUCGGAGGCGUUACACAGGUGCUGCAUGGCCGUCGUCAGCUCGUGUCGUGAGAUGUUUGGUUAAGUCCAGCAACGAGCGCAACCCCUGUUGCCAGUUACCAGCACGUGAAGGUGGGGACUCUGGCGAGACUGCCCAGAUCAACUGGGAGGAAGGUGGGGAGGACGUCAGGUCAGUAUGGCCCUUAUGCCCAGGGCUGCACACGUACUACAAUGCCCAGUACAGAGGGGGCGGAAGCCGCGAGGCGGAGGAAAUCCUGAAAACUGGGCCCAGUUCGGACUGUAGGCUGCAACCCGCCUACACGAAGCCGGAAUCGCUAGUAAUGGCGCAUCAGCUACGGCGCCGUGAAUAAGUUCCCGGGUCUUGUAC
This 1337-nucleotide ribosomal RNA is filed under the name uncultured bacterium. RNAcentral describes it as "16S ribosomal RNA". It matches the Rfam family "Bacterial small subunit ribosomal RNA", at positions 28 to 1386 of the family's 1533-position model. The record is from RNAcentral.